GUAAGAACAAAUACAUUUUGAGAAUUUUACAAAAAUCACCACUAUAACUAUGCUGGGUAACAUGAAUUGAAUUUGGAAGUAAUGAAGUGCUUUAUACAAAGUGCAGGUUGACAGACUGCAGUGUUCACUAAGUGACUUGGGGGAGAAGAAGGUAGAACAUUCAUAACUGUGUUCACUACUUUUUCAUUAAUCUAAGACGUAUUGAAAUGUCCUUUGGCUUCUGAUAGUUUGGGAAACACAGAAAGAGGCAGACUGCCUGUCUCAGAUUUACAUAGGAAAGGGUAGACUGCUUUACAGAAGUCUGAUGUGUUGGCAAAAAGGAAGCGUGGAGAUUUCAUGUGUCCUUUUCUUCUCUCUUUCUUUCUCUCUUGCUCUCCCUCUCUCUCUUUUUCUUCUCCCCCAGCUGCUCCAAGGUUCUCCUGAACUGAUUGAGCCCAACAUCUUUACAGCAGAUUGGCGUGCAGUACUUCUCUCAUCAGCUGCAAAUACAUUAGCACCAGAUGAUAGAAAAGGUAUUGUUGGCACUUCUGACAUAGCAGAAGGGAUGACAUAUGAACAGUUACAGGUAAGCUUUAUAUAUAUAUUUAUAUAUAUAUAUAUAUAUGUGUGUGUGUGUGUGUAUUAAUGUAUUUUAUUGCUUUUAAUAAAGGUAAUUUACUGAAAUUAAUUUCUUUUAAUUUGUAGACCGUAAUUGAAGAGAUUCUAGAGGAAAGUGGUUAUUACAAUUUCUCUUCAAACAGGUGAGUCUGAGUGUACAAUUUGAAAAGAAGAAGUUAAUGAAGAUGUGCUAAAAGUUAACAUAUCAUCUACCUGUUUGAAUGAUUGCAAUUUCAGUUGAAAGUUAGUGCGAUGCAUAAUUAUUAUAAUACAUGGAUGCAUGGACUGGAAGAAAUUGGUAUGGUACAUUUAGUUAAUAUAAGCUGUUUUGACCACAUGGCCACAUUUGUUUCCUUCACUCAGACAGUAGAGUGGUAGACGUUUGGCAGCAAUCUCCUUAAUUUUUUGUUGAAUAAAACCAGAGAUGAAGGUAAGUUUGAUUUUAAUAGAAGUAUAUUUUACAGGGCUAAAAGGAUGAAGCUAGCAUAUAUAGUAAAGUGUUUGAGUACAACUCAGAAAGCAGAAAAAGUAGUUGCUAUCACAAAAGUGCAGGGGAUGAAAAAAAAAAAAAAAAUGUUUUUUGAAACUGUGUGUAUGCCUUGUCCUAGAGAUGGUAAGUCUUCGCAGCAAGAACCCUUGGAGGAACACAAGAAACAGAGUACAUGAAAAAUGUCCAUAUAGUCCAGAACAUAAGCUUAGUGUUUCUUGUUCUUUUUACCUGUUAGCUUGUAUUUAUUACCUCAGGUAUUUUUUAGUGAAAAAAAAGUAAAAAAAAAAUUCACUGCUUCUACCAGGUCUUCCUUGUCUUUGCAACAAUCAGCAUUUUAAUGCCUGGGAGACCACCUGGGAGUUAUCUUUUCUAAAAACAACAACAAAAAAAAUGACCAAACAAACCAGAAAAAAAAAAAAAUCCUCUAAAUUCUGAUAUUAAGAGGUUUUAAGACUUUGUAUUUUCUGGUUCUUCACUAAUAUUUUUUCAGUUAUCUGUUAUCUCUGCAUUUUUCUGAAUAUUUUUAUAGAAUACUCACUAAAUUGGAAUUCCAGCUUACAAAUAUCUUACAGCUGCCAGUCGUUAAGUAUUGAAAAAUCAUGAUUCAGAACUCCCAAAAUAAAAUAAUAAUUUGCUCUUUAAACCUUCAGGGUAAAAUUGAAUCAUGUUUACAAAUCACUUUUGCAGCUAUGAGGUCUAACAAAUGUUAGUAUUUAAAUUUUUGUCCUGAUCACAUGCUCCCAAUAUUUGGAGCUGUAAAAAAAAAUCAAAUGUUGUGCAACUUAGAAAAACAAUAUGAAAAAGGCUGUCCUUUUUAACACUAGAUCUAGCAAAUGUACAAAUGUGGUGUGUAGACAUUUAAUUCACGCACUGGCAAAAGCAUCUUAUUGCAAUUUACUUUAAUGAUGCAGAUGUAUAUUGAAUAUGGGCAUGAGUAUUUUGCACAAACUACUAUGAAAAUAAGAAAUCUAUUAAUAAAAAUGUAAAGGACAUUUAAAGAUUACAGAAAAAUAUGUUAGUACUUACAAUGUAUAACACAGGAAUGCCACAUGAGACUAACAGCAGUGCAAUAAUUAACAUUGUUUUUUUUUUUUCUGGUGACAGCAUUUAUUUGGGACUUUGUAUUUUUCCUGCUGUGCCAAAAUUCCCUAUGGAGUUGUUGUUCUUAAGAAUCUUAAGAUAUUUUUGUAUGUUUUGGGAAAUUUUGUUUCAGAGGAGACAAAAAAAUAUUCUUCAUAGCCACAUGGGAUGACAGUGUGGUAUAGGAUGUUUUUUCCCUAUGCCAUAUUUAUCCUAUAGGGGGAAAUAGCAAGUAGUACAUCUUCACAUAUUCAUAAAGGCUGGAGAGGAAGGCCAGUGAAUGCUCAACAUCUUUCUUCACAUUGUGUUUCCCCUGAGUCAUACAACUUCUCCAGUAGUGCUGAUAAUGUGUUAUUCACAGGUGGUGCUGAUUUGUACUUUGUUCAUGGGGCUUGUAGCAAAGCCAAAAUUGAUUUUGGAGUGGGAGAAAGGAAUGAAGUGAAAUCUCCUUAGAAGUUUAGAAGUAUGUUGUCUAAAUUUGAUAUUGUUUGCUUGUUUUUGCUUCUUAUUUACAACUGUUAAUGUGUGCACGUAACAGCUACUGUAGACUUUGACCUACUCCAGUGCAUGUGUGUCAUUCUAGCAUGCCCUAGCUUUAGCUGGCAAAUGCAGAGCAGCCACACCUAAUUGUUGAUCUGUCACCAGCAGCAAUACAUGUUCUUGAUUUUUCACUAUGCUGUUGAAUCGUGUUAUUUGUCAUGAUGCAUAAUUACAUUUGGUUCCCCUGUCACUAUUAUGUUAAUUCUUUUCUGGACAAUGUUUUACUCACAAAUAAAAUAAUAUUUUUCCCUCUCUGAAAAUUGGUACACCAUGCUUUCAUUGUCAGGAACAUCUGUCUCUGUUUCCAGAGGACUUACCAUAUUUUCUAGAAUAUGCUUCACUCAGUGCUAUUUAGAGCUUUCAGAUUUUUUUUUCUUCUCAUACUUUGUCCAAGUAGUCAAGCAGUGCAGUUUCAAUAGCUUUUGAAUUCUUUAUGGUUCAUUUGUCUAGCAGACAUGCUCGGGUUCUUCCCAACAGUUCU
Molecule: long non-coding RNA, 3188 nt
Filed under: Cairina moschata (Muscovy duck)
Lineage: Eukaryota; Metazoa; Chordata; Aves; Anseriformes; Anatidae
Description: domestica (muscovy Duck (domestic type)) lncRNA (ENSCMMG00000011800.1)
Source: RNAcentral